RNAcentral lists this ribosomal RNA (253 nucleotides) under uncultured bacterium. Its description in RNAcentral is "partial 16S ribosomal RNA". It matches the Rfam family "Bacterial small subunit ribosomal RNA", at positions 524 to 776 of the family's 1533-position model. The record is from RNAcentral.
UACGUAGGGGGCAAGCGUUGUCCGGAUUUAUUGGGCGUAAAGAGCGUGUAGGCGGCCUUACAGGUCAGCUGUGAAAACUCGAGGCUCAACCUCGAGACGUCGGUUGAAACCAUCUGGCUAGAGUCCGGAAGAGGAGAGUGGAAUUCCCGGUGUAGCGGUGAAAUGCGCAGAUAUCGGGAAGAACACCCGUGGCGAAGGCGGCUCUCUGGGACGGUACUGACGCUGAGACGCGAAAGCGUGGGGAGCGAACAGG